Molecule: transfer RNA, 78 nt
Filed under: Salmonella enterica subsp. enterica
Lineage: Bacteria; Pseudomonadati; Pseudomonadota; Gammaproteobacteria; Enterobacterales; Enterobacteriaceae
Description: tRNA-Arg(acg)
Rfam family: tRNA
About the family: Transfer RNA (tRNA) molecules are approximately 80 nucleotides in length. Their secondary structure includes four short double-helical elements and three loops (D, anti-codon, and T loops).
Source: RNAcentral
GCAUCCGUAGCUCAGCUGGAUAGAGUACUCGGCUACGAACCGAGCCGGUCGGAGGUUCGAAUCCUCCCGGAUGCACCA